AACUAAAUCUAAAACUGCAGCAUUUUGUCAAUACCUAUUGCUACCCAUCCAAAAGAACAAGACCUCAAACGAAAAUUCAGAAGGACUAGAGCAUCUUGUACACCACCACAAGUUCAUCACAGACAAUAAAUUUAUCACCCAUGUCUGCAUUUGUGCUUUUGUUUUGCGUAGAAGCCUUCUUAUCAACUGUGAAUUUAGGGCUCACAAAUGUCCCGGUCCAGGACUGAGACGAUUGUGAGGGAACUGCAGGACGUCGUCGAUGCCUUGGGCGAACCUCUGCGUCAGAGUUUCCAGAAUAUGCAUGGUGGUUAUCCAGAAGCCACUCUGGAACGAUUCCUCAGAGCAAGAGACGGCGAUGCUACGAAAGCGAGUAAAAUGAUUGUGGAUUGCCUGAAUUGGAGAGUCAAAAACAGGAUUGACAAUAUCCUUGCGGAGCCCAUAUUACCAAAGGAGAAAUUCGAUGCCAUCCGACAGACUCAGUUGAUUGGAUUUUGCGGCUUUUGCAAACAGGGUCGACCUGUUUUUGCAAUUGGUGUCGGCAAUAGUACUUUUGAUCAAGCCUCAGUAGACAAAUAUGUCCAGUCACAUAUUCAGAUCAACGAGUAUAGGGAUAGAAUAAUCUUGACUGAAAUCAGCACGAAUAAGGGGCGAUACGUAGGGACCUGUUUGAAGAUUUUGGAUAUGACUAGCCUUAGUCUUUCGGCAAUCAGCCGGUUGAAGACCUCCACAGCUAUCGCAACCAUUGAUGAUUUGAAUUAUCCAGAGAAAACUGACACUUACUACAUUGUCAAUGCGCCGCAUGUGUUUUCUACCUGUUGGAAGGCAGUGAAACCUAUGCUCCAUGAAAGGACCAAGCGCAAAGUGCAAGUACUGCGGGGGAACGGGCAGGAGGAGCUUCUCCAGGUGAUGGAUUUUGAAACACUCCCUCCCUUCUGCAAGCCCGGCAUUAGCUCAUCCAACGAGUCUGACAUCUUCUCGCCAGACCAUCAGUUUCAUGUGAAGCUGUACAAUCACAUUCAACAAAUGGCUCUGUCCACUGACAGGGUCCUUAAUGGUCUGUCCUCUGAGGGCUCCUUGAACAUCGAAGUUCCGACCUCAGCCGAGCAGAGCCAGCAUUCCGAUGAAUGCGAGGUUGUUCACGGGAUUGGAUCUGUGCUGCCCACUCUUCAAGCGUCUCCAAAUGACUCUUACCAGCAUCAAAGGGAUACGUUGACUUCCAACAUUGCUGGUCUACAAGGGAAAUCAUCCUGCCUUUGGCUUGUCUUGGUGCUUGUGGCAGUCUACUUCAUGAGAGGAUUGUGGUGAAAGAGAUGAUGAUGAAGAGGAAACUUGUGCAGUUGCAUUUCCCUCACGGCACAGCCACAGCCCACCUCUCUCAUUUCAGCUUUUGGAAAUGUUGCUGCACUGAUAUGCUUGGUACUUAAUUGAAAAGCAAUACUCACGCGGCUAUGGCAAAGAUCAGACACAGUGUGAGACAAAAUGACCAACUGGAAAUUAUGCCGCAACAAAAAAAUUAAAUUAAAUUAAAAAAAAAAUCAGGCUUCCCCCGGA
Physcomitrium patens is the source of this 1551-nucleotide RNA transcript. It is a transcript of the gene named phosphatidylinositol/phosphatidylcholine transfer protein SFH11, with no coding region annotated. The record is from RefSeq and is a predicted model, not a curated record. NCBI's taxonomy places the organism in Eukaryota, Viridiplantae, Streptophyta, Bryopsida, Funariales, Funariaceae.